This 2079-nucleotide long non-coding RNA is filed under the name Homo sapiens (human). RNAcentral's name for it is "ZNF850 divergent transcript, transcript variant 2 (ZNF850-DT)". The record is from RNAcentral. Lineage: Eukaryota; Metazoa; Chordata; Mammalia; Primates; Hominidae.
AGAAAAGCGGUCAACCCAGCCACGAUGCGAGCCAAAGGAUUCUUGGCUCCAAGCCUGGUCCUGGCUGUUAGUUUGGAACUCAUGCACCCAGAUGCUAACUCGCCCUCAGAAUGCAGAGGGGAUGAAACACUGACCGGACAAUUCAAUCUGUAUAUGGGUGAGUCCAGGGCUCAGUCUGCAUUGCGCGGAAAAUGAAGGUGAAGGUGGAGGUGGGACCUGAUGGUCUCGUCCCGGAUAGGGUUGAAGAAGUGGGAGAAAAGGAAUCAAAAUCGUGGAUGGGAUAAGAUUGUGCGCGAAUGCUCUCUGGGAGCGGAUCGUGGCCGACGAGGGCCCGAAGAUGCUGCCUUGUGAUCGCAGGUGUGAGUGGAAGCUGUGUGAGUGUCAAUGAGAUAAACUGGAGGGGAAGACGAAUGGCAGGAGGGUGAAGAGGAAACUGAAUUACUGUGCAAACACCCGCCACUCAAAUCCGGGUGGUUACUGCAGAGUGAAUAACGAUAGGUACUAUUUCGUGUAAGGCAAAGUCCUUUGAAAGGGCUCCUAGAGCGUCAAGGCCUCCACCUGAUGAAUGAAUGAGUCAGGCAGGCCCAGCUCCACUUCACGGAUGGGAAAACUGAGGUACGAGGCCUCGCUGAAAGAUGCGAGGCAGAGCGGAGAACCAGAAGCACCACUUCUCUCAGGCUGAUGCUCUAAUCUCGGCUCCCCCCGCCCCUACAAUGGCGUAGACGGCCUCCGCCGCCCGACUCACACACACCCUCCCCCGGGAACGGCAAGUCUCCUCGGGUUCCAAGGACAGGGUCAAAAGACAAGAGGCCCGAGGCGCUCCCGCCGUGAUUUGCAGCCAGAUACCGUUGGGAGCGCAGCCAGAGAGCGUUGGGAGCGUGCGUACCUCCAGCCCAACAUGGCGGCGGCAGCGGCCGCCCCCGACCCCAAGCCCUCCCUCAGGGCCCGAGGCUUCUCCUCAGGGCCUUCCGGUGGGCGGGAAGACAGCGCAACCCCGCCAGGCCUUUCUCGUCGCUGCGCCUGCUCGCUGAAGGAGUCACCUACCCGACGAGACUAACGGCUGCGGCGCGGAAGCCCCACAGCCCGCCGAGAACCAGGAAUACGAGAGCCAGGCGGCGCGGCGGCGGGACCUGUACUGAGCAAGAAAGAAGAUUUCAAAGUAAUUUAUUGUUAUGAGAUCCGUGCUUUUAUCUUGUCUCAGACUCCCAAUGAUAGGCACAUACUCUCCUCUGUACAUUUAAUGAAACUACUAAAAUAUUUCGAUUUAAAUCUUCCACCUAUUUGUUUUCUGUGUAUCCUACCUGUUCCCGACCUUGACAUUUUCAAAGAAUACAGGUUACUUAUUUUGUUUUUUGGUGGUGGUGAGUUUUUUUGGGGUUUUGUUUUUUGGUUUUUGGUUUUAUUUUUGGAGACAGGGCUUUGCUGUAUCGCCCAGGCUGGAAUACAGUGGCGCGAUGAUAGCUCACUGCAGCCUCGAACUCCUGGGCUCAAGGGACCCUCCUGCUUCAGCCUCCCGAGUAGCUGGGACUACAGGCCUGCGCCACCACGCCCGGGUAAUUUUUUAUUUUUUGUAGAGAUGGGGUGUUCUAUGUUGCCCAGUGUGGUCUCAAACUCUUGGGCUCAAGAGAUCCUCCCACUUCUGCUGCCCAAAGUGCUAGGAUUACAGGCAUGAGCCACCGCGCCGGGACAGUUAUUUUGUAGAGUGUUCUUUAAUUUGGAUGUACCUCAUCUUUUAUGUAUCUUUGGGAGGAAUACCACAUAACUCAUGUGGUUUAUCCCAUCGAGAGACACACAGUGUCAAUGUGUUCCAUUCUUGGUGAUGUUAACUUUUAUUACUUAGUGAAAAUAAUUCUAAGAGAUUUCACCACUGUAGAGUGAAUAAAUGAAUAUGUGGGAUUCAUCAAUGAAUAAGUAAAAGGAUGCCAACUGGCAAAAGAACUGAGUUGGGAGGAUGGCUUGAGCCUGGGAGGUCGAGGCUGCAGUGAGCCGUGAUGGCACCACUGCCCUCCAGCCUGGGUGACAAAGCAAGACCCCGUCUCAGAAAAAAUUAAAUAAAUAAAUAAAUACCCAGCACCUGAA